This is a long non-coding RNA of Neocloeon triangulifer, 334 nucleotides long. RefSeq lists it as uncharacterized. The transcript is spliced from 3 exons. Lineage: Eukaryota; Metazoa; Arthropoda; Insecta; Ephemeroptera; Baetidae. The record is from RefSeq and is a predicted model, not a curated record.
GUCACGACAGCAGCCCCUCUUGCAACUCGGCGAGAUUGCUCAGUGCCGCCCUCGUUGCCGCCUCUGCCGCUUCAUCUGUAUUUGGUUUUGCACCUGCAAGUGGACAGACAGUUUAGUGCAGUGCAACCCGGCGUUAAAUCGUCCUUGCGCCUGAAAAGGCAAAUCGACCAUUUUUUUCGCCUCGUCGGAGGAGCUGGGAGAUGUUCUGAUUUGGGAUGAAUACGGAACUGAACAUAUAAGCCUGCCACAAUGAGCAGAAAAGAAGCGUUGGCCACCCUCUUGCUGGUGGUGCUGACGACCUCCGGCUCUGCCCUCGGUCUCGACGCUGGUGAGU